AAAUUGAAGAGUUUGAUCAUGGCUCAGAUUGAACGCUGGCGGCAGGCCUAACACAUGCAAGUCGAACGGUAACAGGAAACAGCUUGCUGUUUCGCUGACGAGUGGCGGACGGGUGAGUAAUGUCUGGGAAACUGCCUGAUGGAGGGGGAUAACUACUGGAAACGGUAGCUAAUACCGCAUAAUGUCGCAAGACUAAAGAGGGGGACCUUCGGGCCUCUUGCCAUCGGAUGUGCCCAGAUGGGAUUAGCUAGUAGGUGGGGUAACGGCUCACCUAGGCGACGAUCCCUAGCUGGUCUGAGAGGAUGACCAGCCACACUGGAACUGAGACACGGUCCAGACUCCUACGGGAGGCAGCAGUGGGGAAUAUUGCACAAUGGGCGCAAGCCUGAUGCAGCCAUGCCGC
RNAcentral lists this ribosomal RNA (403 nucleotides) under Shigella sonnei. RNAcentral's name for it is "bacterial SSU rRNA". It matches the Rfam family "Bacterial small subunit ribosomal RNA", at positions 1 to 400 of the family's 1533-position model. The record is from RNAcentral. Lineage: Bacteria; Pseudomonadati; Pseudomonadota; Gammaproteobacteria; Enterobacterales; Enterobacteriaceae.